This 148-nucleotide signal recognition particle RNA is filed under the name Pongo abelii (Sumatran orangutan). Its description in RNAcentral is "Metazoan signal recognition particle RNA (ENSPPYG00000036183.1)". It matches the Rfam family "Metazoan signal recognition particle RNA". From Rfam's summary of the family: The signal recognition particle (SRP) is a universally conserved ribonucleoprotein. The record is from Rfam by way of RNAcentral. Lineage: Eukaryota; Metazoa; Chordata; Mammalia; Primates; Hominidae.
GCCGGGCAUGGUGGUGCAUGCCUGUAAUCCCAGCUACUCGGGAGGCUGAGGCAGGAGAAUGGCUUGAACCCAGGAGGUGGAGGUUGCAGUGAGCCAAGAUCGCGCCACUACACUCCAACCUGGGUGACAGAGUGAGAUCCUGUCUCAA